RNAcentral lists this ribosomal RNA (1401 nucleotides) under uncultured bacterium. Its description in RNAcentral is "bacterial SSU rRNA". It matches the Rfam family "Bacterial small subunit ribosomal RNA". The record is from RNAcentral.
AGAGUUUGAUCCUGGCUCAGGAUGAACGCUAGCGACAGGCUUAACACAUGCAAGUCGAGGGGCAGCGGGGUUGAAGCUUGCUUCAACUGCCGGCGACCGGCGCACGGGUGAGUAACACGUAUGCAACCUGCCCGUCACAGGGGAAUAACCGGAAGAAAUUCCGACUAAUUCCGCGUAACACUGUUUUCAGGCAUCUGGAGACAGUCAAAGGAGAGAUCCGGUGACGGAUGGGCAUGCGGCGCAUUAGCUAGUCGGCGGGGUAACGGCCCACCGAGGCGACGAUGCGUAGGGGUUCUGAGAGGAAGGUCCCCCACACUGGUACUGAGACACGGUCCAGACUCCUACGGGAGGCAGCAGUGAGGAAUAUUGGUCAAUGGUCUGACGACUGAACCAGCCAUGCCGCGUGAAGGUGACGGCCCUAUGGGUCUUAAACUUCUUUUGUAAGGGAGCAAUAAGGUUUACGUGUAGACCGAUGAGAGUACCUUACGAAUAAGCAUCGGCUAACUCCGUGCCAGCAGCCGCGGUAAUACGGGGGAUGCAAGCGUUAUCCGGAUUUAUUGGGUUUAAAGGGUGCGUAGGCGGUCUGUUAAGUCAGCGGUGAAAUUUAGGGGCUCAACCUCUACCGUGCCGUUGAUACUGGUGAGCUUGAAUGCGGAUGCCGUGGGAGGAAUGUGUGGUGUAGCGGUGAAAUGCAUAGAUAUCACACAGAACACCGAUUGCGAAGGCAUCUCACGAAUCCGCAAUUGACGCUGAGGCACGAAAGCGUGGGGAUCAAACAGGAUUAGAUACCCUGGUAGUCCACGCUGUAAACGAUGAUGACUAACCGUCUGCGAUACACAGUCGGUGGCCAAGCGAAAGCGAUAAGUCAUCCACCUGGGGAGUACGACCGCAAGGUUGAAACUCAAAGGAAUUGACGGGGGCCCGCACAAGCGGAGGAACAUGUGGUUUAAUUCGAUGAUACGCGAGGAACCUUACCCGGGCUUGAACUGCACAGGACUGAUACAGAGAUGUUGAUUCCCUUCGGGGCCUGUGCGGAGGUGCUGCAUGGUUGUCGUCAGCUCGUGCCGUGAGGUGUCGGCUUAAGUGCCAUAACGAGCGCAACCCCUUUCGUCAGUUGCCAUCAGGUUUUGCUGGGCACUCUGGCGACACUGCCACCGUAAGGUGCGAGGAAGGUGGGGAUGACGUCAAAUCAGCACGGCCCUUACGUCCGGGGCUACACACGUGUUACAAUGGCAGGUACAGAGGGCCGGCGCCUGGCAACAUGCGUCCAAUCCUUAAAGCCUGCCUCAGUUCGGAUUGGGGUCUGCAACCCGACCCCAUGAAGCUGGAUUCGCUAGUAAUCGCGCAUCAGCCAUGGCGCGGUGAAUACGAACCCGGGCCUUGCACACACCGCCCGUCAAG